ACGGAAGGCAGCAGUGGGGAAUAUUGCACAAUGGGGGAAACCCUGAUGCAGCGACGCCGCGUGAGUGAAGAAGUUAUUCGUAAUGUAAAGCUCUAUCAGCAGGGAAGAAAAUGACGGUACCUGACUAAGAAGCCCCGGCUAACUACGUGCCAGCAGCCGCGGUAAUACGUAGGGGGCAAGCGUUAUCCGGAUUUACUGGGUGUAAAGGGAGCGCAGACGGCUUUGCAAGUCUGAUGUGAAAGGCAGGGGCUCAACUCCUGGACUGCAUUUGGAACUGUCAAGCUAGAGUAUCGGAGAGGUAAGUGGAAUUCCUAGUGUAGCGGUGAAAUGCGUAGAUAUUAGGAGGAACACCAGUGGCGAAGGCGGCUUACUGGACGAUAACUGACGUUGAGGCUCGAAAGCGUGGGGAGCAAACAGGAUUAGAUACCCUGGUA
RNAcentral lists this ribosomal RNA (434 nucleotides) under uncultured Lachnospiraceae bacterium. RNAcentral describes it as "bacterial SSU rRNA". It matches the Rfam family "Bacterial small subunit ribosomal RNA", at positions 341 to 792 of the family's 1533-position model. The record is from RNAcentral. Lineage: Bacteria; Bacillati; Bacillota; Clostridia; Lachnospirales; Lachnospiraceae.